Molecule: long non-coding RNA, 1119 nt
Filed under: Anas platyrhynchos platyrhynchos (common mallard)
Lineage: Eukaryota; Metazoa; Chordata; Aves; Anseriformes; Anatidae
Description: lncRNA (ENSAPLG00000023153.1)
Source: RNAcentral
AUGCAGACCUUUAGUCUGACCCUGCAUGGCUGUUUUUACACAACUCGCUCACUCCACCCACUUUGCCUUCCACCCUGCAUCUUCCCCUUCCACACUUUACUUCCACAAGCCAGCCUAUACUACCUGAAAUACUGCCAUACACUGCUAGAGCAAGGACCUGCAGAGACCAGGUACAGCAGAAUACUUGGAUUCCUUAAGCUUUAUAGGAUAAUAUCCAUUAUUCCCCAAUUAUGAUGACGACAACUUCUCACUUGGACCAUGGAUCUUCUUUAUUUUGUAAGCACAUAUGUUUUAAAUGUUAUACUAGAUUUUUUUUUUGGUGUAGUGAAGUGUAACUUACGUGCAUCUCUGUGAGUGUGAACAUUUAUUUUAAGUUAACAUAUAUAUGUAUAUACCUACAUAUGUAUAUAUGUAACAUAUAUUUACAUACGUCUGUAAAUCACAAUUAUUAAAUUGAACUCAUCUUUACUAACCAUUUUUAAACUCAGUUUUUCUUAAUUUAUUGUCUUUUCUACAGAUGAGGCAGGAAAAGAACCAUGCUUUAGAGGUGAUUUAAGAACUGUUUGUGUUUCAAGCAUCAAAACUUUAACCUACAGUGGUAUUUAUGAAUGAAUUAGGCUAUAUUUCUCUGUAUUAGCCUUUCUCCUUUGUUACAGCUUCUUGUAAAAAUAGUUUCAUAUAAAAAAUGAUAUUGCUUUCUUUUAGAGUAUCUUUGUAUUUUGGCAAUGCUUGUUAACAUACUUUGGAUCAAGCUGAGAAAGAAAAAAUAUUUGUUUAUUUUACAGCUUGAGAAGAUUAGCAUCAACCUGUAUAUAUAUAUCCUCCAUUUCUGAAGUCAACCCCAUUUCCAAAGAUAGCUUUGCUUUGACUGAAUUCAGUGUUAUUGAAUAUAAUUCAGUCUCUCAUUAAUCUAUUACAGAUAUUAUUAAUACAACUUAGAUUUAUUAUAAAAUAUAUAUAAUGUAUGUUGUAUAUUUAUUUUAUAAAUACAAUUGUUAUACAUCAGCCAGUGAAACAAAAGUUAUCUUGUGUUUUAAUCUUUCCGAAAGGUACUCAAACUGAGAUGCCAAGAUAAGAGUUCCUAAUAAAUGAGGAUAUAUGGAAUCUGGUCUCUACGCU